UAGCUCAGUCAGUAGAGCAUGAGACUCUUAAUCUCAGGGUCUUGGGUUCAUGCCCCAC
RNAcentral lists this transfer RNA (58 nucleotides) under Erinaceus europaeus (western European hedgehog). It matches the Rfam family "tRNA", at positions 8 to 63 of the family's 71-position model. From Rfam's summary of the family: Transfer RNA (tRNA) molecules are approximately 80 nucleotides in length. Their secondary structure includes four short double-helical elements and three loops (D, anti-codon, and T loops). Further hydrogen bonds mediate the characteristic L-shaped molecular structure. tRNAs have two regions of fundamental functional importance: the anti-codon, which is responsible for specific mRNA codon recognition, and the 3' end, to which the tRNAs corresponding amino acid is attached (by aminoacyl-tRNA synthetases). tRNAs cope with the degeneracy of the genetic code in two manners: having more than one tRNA (with a specific anti-codon) for a particular amino acid; and 'wobble' base-pairing, i.e. permitting non-standard base-pairing at the 3rd anti-codon position. Lineage: Eukaryota; Metazoa; Chordata; Mammalia; Eulipotyphla; Erinaceidae. The record is from Rfam by way of RNAcentral.